This 385-nucleotide ribosomal RNA is filed under the name Katablepharis sp. RNAcentral describes it as "partial small subunit ribosomal RNA". It matches the Rfam family "Eukaryotic small subunit ribosomal RNA", at positions 582 to 975 of the family's 1831-position model. Lineage: Eukaryota; Cryptophyceae; Kathablepharidacea; Katablepharidaceae. The record is from RNAcentral.
AUUCCAGCUCCAAUAGCGUAUAUUUAAGUUGUUGCAGUUAAAAAGCUCGUAGUUGGAUUUUGGAGUUUGACAAGUGGUCUGCCUAAGGUGUGUACUGCUUGUCGGCUCUUCUUUUCUGGGGACCACAUUGCUCUUUACUGAGGAGUGUUGGGAAUCAGAUCUUUUACUUUGAAAAAAUUAGAGUGUUCAAAGCAGGCCCACGCAUUGAAUACAUUAGCAUGGAAUAAUGGAAUGGGACUUUGGUCUUAUUUUGUUGGUUUCUAAGGCCGAGGUUAUGAUUAAUAGGGAUAGUUGGGGGCGUUUAUAUUCCAUUGUCAGAGGUGAAAUUCUUGGAUUUAUGGAAGGUAAACUACUGCGAAAGCAUUCGCCAAGGAUGUUUUCAUCA